AUACGGAGGAUCCGAGCGUUAUCCGGAUUUAUUAGGUUUAAAGGGUGCGCAGGCGGAACUGUAAGUCACCGGUGAAAUCCUACAGCUUAACUGUAGAACUGCCGGUGAUACUGCGAUUCUUGAGUAUAGUUGAGGUAGGCGGAAUGUGUAGUGUAGCGGUGAAAUGCAUAGAUAUUACACAGAACACCGAUUGCGAAGGCAGCUUACUAAACUAUUACUGACGCUCAUGCACGAAAGCGUGGGGAGCGAACAGGAUUAGAAACCCGGGUAGUCC
RNAcentral lists this ribosomal RNA (274 nucleotides) under uncultured bacterium. RNAcentral describes it as "partial 16S ribosomal RNA". It matches the Rfam family "Bacterial small subunit ribosomal RNA", at positions 523 to 796 of the family's 1533-position model. The record is from RNAcentral.